CCUACGGGAGGCAGCAGUGAGGAAUAUUGGUCAAUGGACGAGAGUCUGAACCAGCCAAGUAGCGUGAAGGAUGACUGCCCUAUGGGUUGUAAACUUCUUUUAUAUGGGAAUAAAAUGUUCCACGUGUGGGAUUUUGUAUGUACCAUAUGAAUAAGGAUCGGCUAACUCCGUGCCAGCAGCCGCGGUAAUACGGAGGAUCCGAGCGUUAUCCGGAUUUAUUGGAUUUAAAGGGAGCGUAGGUGGAUUGUUAAGUCAGUUGUGAAAGUUUGCGGCUCAACCGUAAAAUUGCAGUUGAAACUGGCAGUCGUGAGUACAGUAGAGGUAGGCGGAAUUCGUGGUGUAGCGGUGAAAUGCUUAGAUAUCACGAAGAACUCCGAUUGCGAAGGCAGCUCACUGGACUGCAACUGACACUGAGGCUCGAAAGUGUGGGUAUCAAACAGGAUUAGAUACCCCAGUAGUC
RNAcentral lists this ribosomal RNA (460 nucleotides) under uncultured bacterium. RNAcentral describes it as "partial 16S ribosomal RNA". It matches the Rfam family "Bacterial small subunit ribosomal RNA", at positions 338 to 795 of the family's 1533-position model. The record is from RNAcentral.